GCCCCGCAGCGAUCGAAACCUGGCGUUCUGGCGUUCUUGAUCCGUACAGCAGCAAACUCAUUUGCUAUUUAUUUACACGCGUCAUUAUGUGCCAAAUGUCAGACGUCGGGAUCGUUUGAGGAUCACUUAUCGCAACCUUAUAUUCGAUAUUUCUUAUGUUCGAUUAUAUCGAUAUUUCUGGGAAAUAUGAAUAAAUGAGCAUAUGAGUCGGUUGUCGGACACUGUCCUCAUUAACUUGCGAAGAAAAGACCAACUUAUUUGAUCGGAAUAAUCGUUAAAUAACUAACGAUAAGUGGAGAGUCAAAACAGACUGAUUUUAUCUUAAUUUCAAAAAUAUAGUUCAUUACGGACGAAUCUCUAUUUGGUCUCUUUAAUAAAUUUUCCAGUGAACUGAAAGCAAACAUAUUUGCCAUCGACAAAUUCAAUUAAUUUCCUUUUUUUAAUGAUUUAUUGUCAGUGAUCGGUAGCACUCGUGCUACACACGCAAUUAUAAAAAUUGCAUUUACAGAAUGUGUGCACAUUACGAUGUUGCGAUUAAAUUCAUGGAAUAAAAGCGAAGGUAUUUCUUGUCUAGACUCUGCAGUUGGAAAAUAUUGCACUAAUCAGUUCUAAAAAUAAUCUGCGAAGCCGUCGUGUUAGACAAACAGAUAUUUGCUGUCUCUUCCAUAAAUGCAAAUGAUUCAUCAAUGAAAAAGCAAUUCGCUCUUAGGCUAUAAUCAUAAGUCUUAAUUUUUCUUCUGUCAAUCGCAGACCCUAUCUCAAUAAUAUCAUACGUUAAUCAUACGUAAUGCAACAUAUAUUUUCAGACGGUGUGAAUAAUUUUUUUACUCUCUCACAUUAAGAAGAUGAUAUAGAAAACGAUGUAAAAAAUAUAUAUUAGAUAUAGAGAUUUUUUAUUUCGAGUUCUAUCGAGUCUCUAAUGUUAUUAUUUUGCAUUUUUAUCGUUAUACAACGAAAAGAUACAAAGGCAAGUAUGCAACGGGUACUUUGUACAAAUACAAAUUUUUCAGUAUACAAUUAAACAAUGUUAUAAUCAAAGACUUUUCUCUUACGCGUAUAUCGGGUCUGCGAUUAGGCGCGCUAAUUACAGCGACAUCCGUGUAUUAUCUAACGCGAUUCGAAGGAUUUAUUUACAGUGUGAUUCAGUGUAAAUCUAUGGAAGAUGCGUACGAGAGAAAGAAGGACGUCAACAAUUACAAUAUCCGCUUAUUUUCAAUUCCCUAUCAGUCUCACAUAUACGCAUUCUUAAUGAAUUUUACAUUUCCUCUCGCACGCAUCGUUCCAAUUUGCAUAGUUCGUAGCUUAUUACAAAACGAUAUAGUUAUAUACCCAUCGUUACAUAUUGCGAAACUUUCGUCAUGUGAUGUUUCAUUAUAAAUCGAUUAGAUACUCCGGAGUAUAACUAAUCUCGUCCGGCGACAUGUGUGCGUCGAACUUUAUUAAAAAAUACAAAUCCGUUUAGUAUCAUUGCGUAGAUUUCAUGCGGUGGAAACGUUCACCUAACACACAUUAGUCACAAGACCAAAUUAUAUCCGUUAUCGUCAUUUAUUAUAUCAUCAUCGCAACCUAUUAUUAUCCUAUUAUAUGGCGCGUAAAUCACUUUCUCUUGUCAUAAUCUCUUCGUCGGUGUUUUCCCAUACUAAUCAUCUGCAUCUUUAAAUAUAUGAUUAAUGUCUAAUAUAGAAAAAGGAUUUGUAGGAAAAUGAUGGUCCGAAGUUAGCACCGGAUUUUCUGGUUUCUCGUACAGCGGAUUAGUCGGAUCAGAUAGAGACUCUCGUUUUCAAUUGCUACGCAAAAAAAAUUAAAUAUAAUAAAUAAGUUGUGCAUUUAUUAAUC
Long non-coding RNA from Pogonomyrmex barbatus (red harvester ant), 1836 nucleotides. Lineage: Eukaryota; Metazoa; Arthropoda; Insecta; Hymenoptera; Formicidae. The record is from RefSeq and is a predicted model, not a curated record.